RNAcentral lists this transfer RNA (69 nucleotides) under Cercopithecus mitis opisthostictus. RNAcentral describes it as "tRNA-His". It matches the Rfam family "tRNA". Rfam says of the family: Transfer RNA (tRNA) molecules are approximately 80 nucleotides in length. Their secondary structure includes four short double-helical elements and three loops (D, anti-codon, and T loops). The record is from RNAcentral. Lineage: Eukaryota; Metazoa; Chordata; Mammalia; Primates; Cercopithecidae.
GUAAAUAUAGUUUAACCAAAACACCAGAUUGUGAAUCUGGCCAUAGAAACCCACCACUUCUUAUUUACC